CUGAAUCAGUGUGUGUGUUAGUGGAAGCGUCUGGAAAGGCGCGCGAUACAGGGUGACAGCCCCGUACACAAAAAUGCACAUGCUGUGAGCUCGAUGAGUAGGGCGGGACACGUGGUAUCCUGUCUGAAUAUGGGGGGACCAUCCUCCAAGGCUAAAUACUCCUGACUGACCGAUAGUGAACCAGUACCGUGAGGGAAAGGCGAAAAGAACCCCGGCGAGGGGAGUGAAAAAGAACCUGAAACCGUGUACGUACAAGCAGUGGGAGCCUCUUUUAUGGGGUGACUGCGUACCUUUUGUAUAAUGGGUCAGCGACUUAUAUUCUGUAGCAAGGUUAACCGAAUAGGGGAGCCGAAGGGAAACCGAGUCUUAACUGGGCGUUAAGUUGCAGGGUAUAGACCCGAAACCCGGUGAUCUAGCCAUGGGCAGGUUGAAGGUUGGGUAACACUAACUGGAGGACCGAACCGACUAAUGUUGAAAAAUUAGCGGAUGACUUGUGGCUGGGGGUGAAAGGCCAAUCAAACCGGGAGAUAGCUGGUUCUCCCCGAAAGCUAUUUAGGUAGCGCCUCGUGAAUUCAUCUCCGGGGGUAGAGCACUGUUUCGGCAAGGGGGUCAUCCCGACUUACCAACCCGAUGCAAACUGCGAAUACCGGAGAAUGUUAUCACGGGAGACACACGGCGGGUGCUAACGUCCGUCGUGAAGAGGGAAACAACCCAGACCGCCAGCUAAGGUCCCAAAGUCAUGGUUAAGUGGGAAACGAUGUGGGAAGGCCCAGACAGCCAGGAUGUUGGCUUAGAAGCAGCCAUCAUUUAAAGAAAGCGUAAUAGCUCACUGGUCGAGUCGGCCUGCGCGGAAGAUGUAACGGGGCUAAACCAUGCACCGAAGCUGCGGCAGCGACGCUUAUGCGUUGUUGGGUAGGGGAGCGUUCUGUAAGCCUGUGAAGGUGUGCUGUGAGGCAUGCUGGAGGUAUCAGAAGUGCGAAUGCUGACAUAAGUAACGAUAAAGCGGGUGAAAAGCCCGCUCGCCGGAAGACCAAGGGUUCCUGUCCAACGUUAAUCGGGGCAGGGUGAGUCGACCCCUAAGGCGAGGCCGAAAGGCGUAGUCGAUGGGAAACAGGUUAAUAUUCCUGUACUUGGUGUUACUGCGAAGGGGGGACGGAGAAGGCUAUGUUGGCCGGGCGACGGUUGUCCCGGUUUAAGCGUGUAGGCUGGUUUUCCAGGCAAAUCCGGAAAAUCAAGGCUGAGGCGUGAUGACGAGGCACUACGGUGCUGAAGCAACAAAUGCCCUGCUUCCAGGAAAAGCCUCUAAGCAUCAGGUAACAUCAAAUCGUACCCCAAACCGACACAGGUGGUCAGGUAGAGAAUACCAAGGCGCUUGAGAGAACUCGGGUGAAGGAACUAGGCAAAAUGGUGCCGUAACUUCGGGAGAAGGCACGCUGAUAUGUAGGUGAAGUCCCUUGCGGAUGGAGCUGAAAUCAGUCGAAGAUACCAGCUGGCUGCAACUGUUUAUUAAAAACACAGCACUGUGCAAACACGAAAGUGGACGUAUACGGUGUGACGCCUGCCCGGUGCCGGAAGGUUAAUUGAUGGGGUCAGCGCAAGCGAAGCUCUUGAUCGAAGCCCCGGUAAACGGCGGCCGUAACUAUAACGGUCCUAAGGUAGCGAAAUUCCUUGUCGGGUAAGUUCCGACCUGCACGAAUGGCGUAAUGAUGGCCAGGCUGUCUCCACCCGAGACUCAGUGAAAUUGAACUCGCUGUGAAGAUGCAGUGUACCCGCGGCAAGACGGAAAGACCCCGUGAACCUUUACUAUAGCUUGACACUGAACAUUGAGCCUUGAUGUGUAGGAUAGGUGGGAGGCUUUGAAGUGUGGACGCCAGUCUGCAUGGAGCCGACCUUGAAAUACCACCCUUUAAUGUUUGAUGUUCUAACGUUGGCCCCUAAUCGGGGUUGCGGACAGUGUCUGGUGGGUAGUUUGACUGGGGCGGUCUCCUCCUAAAGAGUAACGGAGGAGCACGAAGGUUGGCUAAUCCUGGUCGGACAUCAGGAGGUUAGUGCAAUGGCAUAAGCCAGCUUGACUGCGAGCGUGACGGCGCGAGCAGGUGCGAAAGCAGGUCAUAGUGAUCCGGUGGUUCUGAAUGGAAGGGCCAUCGCUCAACGGAUAAAAGGUACUCCGGGGAUAACAGGCUGAUACCGCCCAAGAGUUCAUAUCGACGGCGGUGUUUGGCACCUCGAUGUCGGCUCAUCACAUCCUGGGGCUGAAGUAGGUCCCAAGGGUAUGGCUGUUCGCCAUUUAAAGUGGUACGCGAGCUGGGUUUAGAACGUCGUGAGACAGUUCGGUCCCUAUCUGCCGUGGGCGCUGGAGAACUGAGGGGGGCUGCUCCUAGUACGAGAGGACCGGAGUGGACGCAUCACUGGUGUUCGGGUUGUCAUGCCAAUGGCACUGCCCGGUAGCUAAAUGCGGAAGAGAUAAGUGCUGAAAGCAUCUAAGCACGAAACUUGCCCCGAGAUGAGUUCUCCCUGACUCCUUGAGAGUCCUGAAGGAACGUUGAAGACGACGACGUUGAUAGGCCGGGUGUGUAAGCGCAGCGAUGCGUUGAGCUAACCGGUACUAAUGAACCGUGAGGCUUAACCUUACAACGCCGAAG
Molecule: ribosomal RNA, 2642 nt
Filed under: Escherichia coli
Lineage: Bacteria; Pseudomonadati; Pseudomonadota; Gammaproteobacteria; Enterobacterales; Enterobacteriaceae
Description: partial 23S ribosomal RNA
Rfam family: Bacterial large subunit ribosomal RNA
Source: RNAcentral